CCAGCGCUCCCUGUGUAAGGCUUUUAUUCCACCGAAUCAGCUUGUACUACUGCAGAAAGCCGGACCUGAGCCGUAGGUGAAGAUGUGUUACACGCUGCCUUCCUCCAAGGCUGUGCACUUGGAGGUACAAGACUUUAACCGCUUCCCCUGGUUUGGGCUGUAGGAAAAAAGUAAAGGCGGAGACAUGGUAAUUAUACAAAUUGAUGAUGCCCAAGAAAAAGAGAGACUGUGCCUCUGAUUUGUUUCACAUGUAACUGACUUCUAACUCGAGUGUGAAAUGAGGCAGCUCUCCAGCUAGGAGGAGUGUUGCACAAGGUGAGGAUUGGAAAUUAGCUGCUAUUAGCUGCGGUGGUCACUGAAGGGCAGGGAGGAUUUCUUGACUGGGGUCUGAGGGAAGUUCUGGGAAGCAGGGGCUGACCAAGGGUUGCACGGCUAGGCUAGCUGUCUGGGGCCGGUUCAACUACUUCUGAGGUAGCCCCGCCCACCUUUGCUGCCUCCUCCCAUAGGGGAGGAGAGCACCGCAGGCAAGUGGUGGUCACGAGGCCAUAGGAAGAAGCAAAGCCACUGGUUCAGUGACUGGAAAAGCCAAGCUGGCCUCGGGUUCUGGAAAAGCCAAGCUGGCCUCGGGGCGUGGUUUGUGCCUGUCACUAGGUUAGGCCCACCAAGCAAGUUUACCACAGUGACAUCUUUGAUACUUUGUAGACAUUAACAACCGUGAAUAAUAAAGUACUUCCUGGUUCGUGGCCUGCUGACCAGACACCACCACAGUGUGACAGUGCUGGCCCAGUUUGUGACAGCGGGGACUGUUUCUCAGCACUCAGACUGCGCGGCGCCGUUCUUCCAUUCCUUCUUGCUAAGGGAACCUGAGGUGACUGCCAGCAGCAGUGUCAGUAAGAAUGGUUGCUGGGCAGUGGUGGCGGCCCAACACUCACAGGCAGAAGCAGAGGCGGGUGGAUCUCUUCAUUCGAGGCCAGCCAGCUGGGAAGGGGGAACCCCGGCGGAGGAGUUACUGUCAGAUGACGGUGGGCAUGUCUGUGGGGGAGUUUCUCGACUGCCAUGUGGGCAGUACCACGCCUUGGCAGGUCAUCUUGAGUGACUUAAGGAAAGCAACUAAACAUGAGCCUGGGGACAAGUCAGCAAGCGGCGUUCAUCUGUGGUCUGUGCUUCUGUUCCUGCCUUGAGUUCCUGCCCUGGAUUCCCUUGGGCCAGGACUAGUACCUGACAGUGGUCAGAGGAGAAAAACUUUUCCUGCCCGCAUUGCUUUUUGGUCAUAGUAUUUACCAAACCAACGGAAACCAAAG
This is a long non-coding RNA of Alexandromys fortis (reed vole), 1301 nucleotides long. RefSeq lists it as uncharacterized. NCBI's taxonomy places the organism in Eukaryota, Metazoa, Chordata, Mammalia, Rodentia, Cricetidae. The transcript has 2 exons. The record is from RefSeq and is a predicted model, not a curated record.